UAAUAUUAUUAACAGCUGACCUCUCUCCAGCAGAGGGUUGAUCUCCUUUAAAGUUAAUAUCGCGAUCAUGUGACCAGUCGCUCUUAAAGGACACACAGCUGGGUUCAGGAUCAGGUUCAGGAUCAGGUUCAGGAGACUCUGGUCUCUGCUUGAUCCUGAUAGAAAAACCCAUUUAUUUAGGGUCACAUGUUCAGGUGGAGUAAAGUCUCCCAGCACAUAAUAUAAUAUGAAUAUGUCUGUAGGCCUAAUUAUUAACAUUUAUUUGCCAAUAAUGCUUUACUCUCUGUCGAAAAGUCAAUAAAAAUAUCUUUUGAAA
Molecule: long non-coding RNA, 316 nt
Organism: Etheostoma spectabile (orangethroat darter)
Lineage: Eukaryota; Metazoa; Chordata; Actinopteri; Perciformes; Percidae
Exons: 2
Source: RefSeq, a predicted model, not a curated record